UACGAACUGUGCGAACGUUAUUCGGAAUCACUGGGCUUACAGGGUGCGUAGGCGGCCUCAUCCGUCCGGCGUGAAAUGCCUGGGCUCAACCCAGGAAUUGCGCUCGAUACAGUGAGGCUAGAGUGUGGGAGAGGAUGGUGGAAUUCCCGGUGUAGAGGUGAAAUUCGUAGAUAUUGGGAAGAACACCGGUGGCGAAGGCGGCCAUCUGGACCACAACUGACGCUGAGGCGCGAAAGCGUGGGGAGCAAACAGG
This 253-nucleotide ribosomal RNA is filed under the name uncultured bacterium. Its description in RNAcentral is "partial 16S ribosomal RNA". It matches the Rfam family "Bacterial small subunit ribosomal RNA", at positions 524 to 776 of the family's 1533-position model. The record is from RNAcentral.